UCGAGUUUGAAGUGGGCCUUUUGAGCUGCAGUCAUAUGUGUGCUCGAGGCCCCGCUCCAAUCCACUCAACCCCUGUGCACUUUCGGAGUGGCGAGUGGGAUCGCAAGGUCUUGCUCGUGGCUUCGUCUCUUAUCACAAACCAGUUUUAUUAUUGUCAUGUAGAACGUGGAUGCCUGCAAAGGCGGAAACUCAAUACAACUUUCAACAACGGAUCUCUUGGCUCUCGCAUCGAUGAAGAACGCAGCGAAAUGCGAUAAGUAAUGUGAAUUGCAGAUUUCAGUGAAUCAUCGAAUCUUUGAACGCACCUUGCGCUCCUGGACUUGUUUCAGGAGCAUGCCUGUUUGAGUGUCAUGAAAUCAUCAACCACGAUGCUUCUUAGUGUCGCUGGCUUGGACUUGGGGAUCUGCUGGCUUGUCAAGAGUCGGCUUCCCUUGAAUGCAUUAGUCGGGUGCCUUGCUCGAGAAGUGUGAUAAUUAUCAUUCACUGAUCGUCGAGGAGCUUUGUCUCGGCUUCUAACCGCAUUGGAAACGAUGCAAUUUUUGACACAUCUGACCUCA
This 557-nucleotide ribosomal RNA is filed under the name Hyphodontia zhixiangii. Its description in RNAcentral is "eukaryotic LSU rRNA". The stretch from base 197 to 351 matches the Rfam family "5.8S ribosomal RNA". The record is from RNAcentral. Lineage: Eukaryota; Fungi; Basidiomycota; Agaricomycetes; Hymenochaetales; Schizoporaceae.